UUGAACGCUGGCGGCAUGCCUUACCCAUGCCAGUCGAACGGCAGCACGGGUGCUUGCACCUGGUGGCGAGUGGCGAACGGGUGAGUAAUACAUCGGAACAUGUCCUGUAGUGGGGAAUAGCCCGGCGAAAGCCGGAUUAAUACCGCAUACGAUCUACGGAUGAAAGCGGGGGACCUUCGGGCCUCGCGCUAUAGGGUUGGCCGAUGGCUGAUUAGCUAGUUGGUGGGGUAAAGGCCUACCAAGGCGACGAUCAGUAGCUGGUCUGAGAGGACGACCAGCCACACUGGGACUGAGACACGGCCCAGACUCCUACGGGAGGCAGCAGUGGGGAAUUUUGGACAAUGGGCGAAAGUCUGAUCCAGCAAUGCCGCGUGUGUGAAGAAGGCCUUCGGGUUGUAAAGCACUUUUGUCCGGAAAGAAAUCCUUGGCCCUAAUACGGUCGGGGGAUGACGGUACCGGAAGAAUAAGCACCGGCUAACUACGUG
RNAcentral lists this ribosomal RNA (485 nucleotides) under uncultured bacterium. Its description in RNAcentral is "partial 16S ribosomal RNA". It matches the Rfam family "Bacterial small subunit ribosomal RNA", at positions 30 to 507 of the family's 1533-position model. The record is from RNAcentral.